GCGGCUGUGGCGUAAUUGGUAGCCGCGCCAGAUUUAGGAUCUGGUGCAGAAAUGCGUGCAGGUUCGAGUCCUGUCAGCCGCA
Molecule: transfer RNA, 82 nt
Filed under: Candidatus Symbiothrix sp.
Lineage: Bacteria; Pseudomonadati; Bacteroidota; Bacteroidia; Bacteroidales
Description: tRNA-Leu
Rfam family: tRNA
About the family: Transfer RNA (tRNA) molecules are approximately 80 nucleotides in length. Their secondary structure includes four short double-helical elements and three loops (D, anti-codon, and T loops).
Source: RNAcentral